AAUAUCCUUCUAUUCACC
RNAcentral lists this transfer RNA (18 nucleotides) under Kaloula conjuncta conjuncta. RNAcentral's name for it is "partial tRNA-His". The record is from RNAcentral. Lineage: Eukaryota; Metazoa; Chordata; Amphibia; Anura; Microhylidae.